UACGAAGGGGGCUAGCGUUGUUCGGAAUUACUGGGCGUAAAGCGCGCGCAGGCGGCUAUCCAAGUCAGUGGUGAAAGCCCGGAGCUCAACUCCGGAACUGCCAUUGAAACUGUUUAGCUUGAGGACGAGAGAGGUGAGUGGAAUUCCCAGUGUAGAGGUGAAAUUCGUAGAUAUUGGGAAGAACACCAGUGGCGAAGGCGGCUCACUGGCCCGGUACUGACGCUGAGGCGCGAAAGCGUGGGGAGCAAACAGG
This 253-nucleotide ribosomal RNA is filed under the name uncultured bacterium. RNAcentral describes it as "partial 16S ribosomal RNA". It matches the Rfam family "Bacterial small subunit ribosomal RNA", at positions 524 to 776 of the family's 1533-position model. The record is from RNAcentral.